UUCAGCUUCUCAAAAUGAGGUUCCCUUCUCAGCUCCUGGGGCUGCUGAUGCUCUGGAUCCCAGGAUCCAGUGCGGAUAUUGUGCUGACACAGACCCCACUGUCCCUGUCCAUUGCCCCCAGAGAGCCGGCCUCCAUCUCCUGUAGGGCCAGUGAAAGCCUCCUAUACAGAGAUGGAAACACCUAUUUGUAUUGGUACCUGCAGAAACAAGGCCAGUCCCCACAGCGCCUCAUCUAUGAGGUUUCCAUCCGUAAAUCUGGGGUCCCGAACAGGUUCAGUGGCAGUGGGUCAGGGACAGAUUUCACCUUGAGAAUCAGCAGGGUGUAG
Molecule: non-coding RNA, 326 nt
Organism: Enhydra lutris kenyoni (northern sea otter)
Lineage: Eukaryota; Metazoa; Chordata; Mammalia; Carnivora; Mustelidae
Source: the annotation of a RefSeq genome assembly